This 35-nucleotide non-coding RNA is filed under the name unclassified sequences. RNAcentral's name for it is "DUF805b RNA". It matches the Rfam family "DUF805b RNA". From Rfam's summary of the family: Bacteroidetes, Chlorobi (1 example), Proteobacteria. The record is from RNAcentral.
GAGGCAGAACCGAAAAGCCUAUAACAGAGUAGGGA